This 352-nucleotide ribosomal RNA is filed under the name Acrapex incrassata. RNAcentral's name for it is "partial 12S ribosomal RNA". The record is from RNAcentral. Lineage: Eukaryota; Metazoa; Arthropoda; Insecta; Lepidoptera; Noctuidae.
UAAAAUUUAAAUUUAUAAUACUAAAAUAGUAGAUAAUUAUUUAUUGAAACUUAAAUAAUUUGGCGGUAUUUUAGUUCAUUUAGAGGAAUCUGUUUAAUAAUUGAUAUUCCACGAAUAAAUUUACUUAAUUUAUUAUUUUGUAUAUCGUUGUUAUAAAAAUAUUUUUUAAUAAAAUUAAUAUUUAAAAAUUAUUAUUUAAAUUUAAAUCAGAUCAAGAUGCAGAUUAUAAUUAAGAAUAUAAUGGAUUACAAUAAAAUUAUUUAAAUGGAUAUUAAUUUGUAAAAAUUAAUUGAAGGUGGAUUUAAAUGUAAUUUUAUUUAUUUUAAUAAAAUGAUUAAAAAUUAAAAUAUGU